UUUAGUUUAAAUGUGAUAGACAUAAUCUACUAGAUCAAAACUACCCUGUGCCUUGUCAUCACUGGUUUAGCAUACUGACCACAUGUAGACUAGAGAUUGUGUGCAUAUGAAUCUUCACGUAGGAAGUGAGAACCCAAGAGCAAACACAUGGGAAACUUCAGGUGCCG
Rhodamnia argentea is the source of this 167-nucleotide long non-coding RNA. RefSeq lists it as uncharacterized. NCBI's taxonomy places the organism in Eukaryota, Viridiplantae, Streptophyta, Magnoliopsida, Myrtales, Myrtaceae. The record is from RefSeq and is a predicted model, not a curated record. The transcript has 3 exons.